GUAGUCUCGCACAGAUGCAUAUCAAUAAGCGGAGGAAAAGAAACUAACAAGGAUUCCCCUAGUAACGGCGAGUGAAGCGGGAAGAGCACAAAUUUGAAAUCUUAAAGGGUUUCCCUUUACGAAUUGUAGUUUAAAGAAGUGUUUUCUGUUGAGGUUUUGGUAAAAGUUCUUUGGAAUAGGACAUCAUAGAGGGUGAGAAUCCCGUAUUUGACCUUUACUUCCAACUUUGUGAUACACUUUCAAAGAGUCGGAUUGUUUGGGAAUGCAGUCCAAAAUGGGUGGUAAAUUUCAUCUAAAGCUAAAUAUUGGCGAGAGACCGAUAGCGAACAAGUACCGUGAGGGAAAGAUGAAAAGAACUUUGAAAAGAGAGUUAAACAGUACGUGAAAUUGUCAAAAGGGAAGCGUUUGACACCAGUGUUGUUUUUCUGAAAAUCAAUUAAAGAACUGUUUAUGCUAAGUUGUUUAGACUUUAUCAGCUAUCUGUUUAGUUUUGAGCUUUUCUUUAAUGCACUUUUCAGUUAACAAGUCAACAUCAAUUUCUUUUGCUGUAAAAAAGCUUGAGGAAGGUGGCUUGAGAUUCGUCUUAAGUGUUUAUAGCCUCUUGCCUAUGCAGUCGGAGAGAUUGAGGUCUGCAGCGUAGAUCCUUCGGGGCUAAAUGCAUUUGUGCUAAGUUAUAGCAUUUUAUAGACAACUUGUUGACUAUGAUUUGUCUUGUAGCUUACUCGCUUAUGUUAUUUUACCUACGCUUAGGAUGUUGACAGCAGUAUAGACUGU
RNAcentral lists this ribosomal RNA (774 nucleotides) under uncultured Neocallimastigales. RNAcentral describes it as "partial large subunit ribosomal RNA". It matches the Rfam family "Eukaryotic large subunit ribosomal RNA", at positions 24 to 629 of the family's 3401-position model. The record is from RNAcentral. Lineage: Eukaryota; Fungi; Neocallimastigomycota; Neocallimastigomycetes; Neocallimastigales.